This 1878-nucleotide long non-coding RNA is filed under the name Olea europaea subsp. europaea. Lineage: Eukaryota; Viridiplantae; Streptophyta; Magnoliopsida; Lamiales; Oleaceae. The record is from RNAcentral.
CCAAUUAUCCAACGAGCCCACAAUCCAUUCACCUUUCAAAUUAUUUAUCCAACCCAAUUUACAUAUCUAAUAUCCACUAUCCAACCCAAUUAACCAAAAAUUCCCAAAAUUCAAUCAAAAGUUCCCAAAAUUCCCAAACUAAAAAAUUCCCCAAAAACUGCCCGACGCCUCUGCAGCUCUGCUCAUCAGUCCCCAGUUCGGUAGUCGUCGCCACUCGCCUGUCGUCUUCUUCAGCCUUCAAGUCAGUGUCCACUCGCUAGUACUCCUUGCUUCUGCCGUGCCUGUUCGGCCAUUCCUCGCUAGUCGACUCCGCCCUUUUGCCGACUGCAGCUCUUCUUCAACUCUUCUGCUCUUGAUUGCUGGAGGAUGGUUCGAUUUGGAGAGUGAAGUCGUUUGGUGCUUCUGGAACCCAAGUUGGUGAAGUGGUUUUCAACACAUCAUUAACCGAGUAAAAAUUAAGAAUUUACUAUGAAUUUAUUCCACUGUGUUUGUGAAUGAAUAUUGGCUGAUAAAGAUUUUUUAUCCUCCACUUGCAAGUGGGACACCGUUAGCAGGGCGGGGGCAGUACAUUAUUUGGGGGUGAAACUUCCUAUUGUGUUUUGCCGUUUUGGUGGUCAGGUGCUUCAGCAGGUAGUCAAAGGCUUCAAUAAGAAUUUAAAACUGUGUAUUAUUUUCUAUUAUGGUAGUGUACUGUUUGUCUAGGUAGGUAAAAUGGGGCGAGGUUUGUUAGAAAUGUGUGGAAUCCAUUUAUGUUCCAACAGAUUCAUUUAUCAUUUCUGGUCCACAAAUUGAAAUUGGAAAGAAGGUGGGAUCAGGCUCAUGGUCUCAAGGUGAUUGAUAGAAGUCUCGAGAGACUUCUUGCAUUUGAUUCUUCCGUUUUUUGUGUAAUGGUCAGGUUAUCUUGGGUGUGUAAUUGAUAUCUGAAUGGAUCACUUUGUGCAGAAUGGCUCAAUAAGACUAUUAUGGGUGUAGGUGUCUAAACUAUAAUGAACCACGAAAAUUUUUAGUAUUUUUUAUUUUGAUUCCUCGAUCUACUUUUAUACUUCAUUACUUCAUUUCUUGAGAUUUCUGGAUUAUGGUUUCUGGCCUUAGUGGGUUAACAUGUUUACCACAUUGGAAAUCUUAUUUAAGAAGUCAACUUUGUGUUUAUGGAAGCCGUUACUUAUAUUUGUGUUCCUUUUGGCAUCUAUCUACUAUUGCAAUGGAGUUGAAAUUUACUGAAAUCUCCAGAAGUCUUUUGGCUAGGAAUAGUGAAGAAAGUUCACCAAUUGAAAACUAUUUAUUUUAAUUAUAUGUAUGUCAGAAGGUGGUUUUGUUGAAAGGCUUGAAAGUGGAGUAAAUUUCGUCUUCAUGAAUAAAAUUAAUUCAAUUACUCUCCCACUGUAAACUAUUUCUACCUAGAGAUAAAACCCAUGAGCGAAAUCACUAAAGCGUAAAGGCAAACAUAAAGUAAGUGUAUAAAAUUUAAAAUAUCUUUAAAAGAUAUGUUUGGGGGGCACAAAUUAAAAUUGGCUUUGUUCGGUAAACUAAAAAUAAGAAAAAUAAGGAAAACUCAAAACCAGCUGUUAUUUAUUUCCCCCAUUUUCCUUUUACUCUUUGACAUAUAUUGCAUGAACAUUAUUUAUUAUCUUUAAAUGUAAUAUGCUGCAUGGUAGAGUUUAUAUAUGUAAAUAGAGAGUUAGUCCCCAACUUUUGAAAUAGAACAUUUUGGCCCUCAAUAUUCCAUUAAUAUUGCAAAAUUAUUUUUAGUUGAUAGAAACGGUGCUUAACCCGAAGUGGCUCUACCACCAUAUUUCAUUAAACAAAUUAACUUUUUAGCAAGUUUGUAAGGAUUGUAAUUUUGAAUGUGAUGGUUAUAAGAGUCUUAUGUAUUUAAAC